GACGAACGCUGGCGGCGUGCUUUACACAUGCAAGUCGAACGGUGAAGGUGGAGCUUGCUCCGCCGGAUCAGUGGCGAACGGGUGAGUAACACGUGGGCAACCUGCCCCUAACUUUGGGAUAACUACUCGAAAGAGUAGCUAAUACCGGAUAUGAAGUCUGUAGGCAUCUAUGGAUUUGGAAAGUUUUUCGGUUAGGGAUGGGCCCGCGGCCUAGCAGCUUGUUGGUGAGGUAGUGGCUCACCAAGGCGACGACGGGUAGCCGGCCUGAGAGGGCGACCGGCCACACUGGGACUGAGACACGGCCCAGACUCCUACGGGAGGCAGCAGUGGGGAAUAUUGCGCAUUGGGCGAAAGCCUGACGCAGCAACGCCGCGUGCGGGAUGAAGGCCUUCGGGUUGUAAACCGCUUUCAGCAGGGAAGAAGCGAAAGUGACGGUACCUGCAGAAGAAGCACCGGCUAACUACGUGCCAGCAGCCGCCGUAA
This 483-nucleotide ribosomal RNA is filed under the name uncultured bacterium. Its description in RNAcentral is "partial 16S ribosomal RNA". It matches the Rfam family "Bacterial small subunit ribosomal RNA", at positions 28 to 523 of the family's 1533-position model. The record is from RNAcentral.